UUCCGGUUGAUCCCGCCGGAGGCGACCGCUUUGGGAGUUCGAUUAAGCCAUGCGAGUCGUGAGUCUUAGGGACUCGGCAUACUGCUCAGUAACACGUGGAUAACCUGCCCUAUCGUCUGGAAUAACCUCGGGAAACUGAGAAUAAGGCCGGAUAGUUCACAAUGCCUGGAACGGUUUGUGAGUCAAGGUAGGAUGGGUCUGCGGCGUAUCAGGUUGUAGGGGGUGUAAAGGACCCCCUAGUCUUCGACGCGUACGGGUGUUGGGAGACAUAGCCCGGAGAUGGAUUCUGAGACACGAAUCCAGACCCUACGGGGUGCAGCAGGCGCGAAAACUUCACACUGCAGGAAACUGUGAUGAGGGAACUCCUAGUGCAUGCACUAUGUGUAUGUAGAUCCUACUCUUAACAAGUAGAGGGAAAGGGCUGGGAAAGACCGGUGCCAGCCGCCGCGGUAAUACCGGCAGCUCAAGUGGUCGUCGCUUUUAUUGGGCCUAAAACGUCCGUAGCCUGUUUGGUAAAUCUGUGGGUAAAUCAAUCCGCUCAACGGAUUGAAUUCUGCAGAGACUGCCAGACUAGGGACCGGGAGAGGUGUGGGGUACUCGAGGGGUAGGGGUAAAAUCCUGUCAUCCUUCGAGGACCACCAGUUGCGAAGGCGCCACACUGGAACGGAUCCGACGGUCAGGGACGAAGCCUAGGGGCACGAACCGGAUUAGAUACCCGGGUAGUCCUAGGUGUAAACGCUGUGAACUUGGUGUCGGGGGUCCGCAAGGGGUCCCCGGUGCCGGAGUGAAGAUGUUAAGUUCACUGCCUGGGGAGUACGGUCGCAAGGCUGAAACUUAAAGGAAUUGGCGGGGCAGCAC
RNAcentral lists this ribosomal RNA (858 nucleotides) under uncultured euryarchaeote. Its description in RNAcentral is "bacterial SSU rRNA". It matches the Rfam family "Archaeal small subunit ribosomal RNA", at positions 1 to 879 of the family's 1478-position model. Lineage: Archaea; Methanobacteriati; Methanobacteriota. The record is from RNAcentral.